UACGUAGGGGGCAAGCGUUGUCCGGAAUCAUUGGGCGUAAAGAGCGUGUAGGCGGCCCGGUAAGUCCGCUGUGAAAGUCCAGGGCUCAACCCUGGGAUGCCGGUGGAUACUGUCGGGCUCGAGUCCGGAAGAGGCGAGUGGAAUUCCUGGUGUAGCGGUGAAAUGCGCAGAUAUCAGGAGGAACACCGAUUGCGAAGGCAGCUCGCUGGGACGUGACUGACGCUGAGACGCGAAAGCGUGGGGAGCAAACAGG
This 253-nucleotide ribosomal RNA is filed under the name uncultured bacterium. RNAcentral's name for it is "partial 16S ribosomal RNA". It matches the Rfam family "Bacterial small subunit ribosomal RNA", at positions 524 to 776 of the family's 1533-position model. The record is from RNAcentral.